UACGUAGGGGGCAAGCGUUGCCCGGAUUUACUGGGCGUAAAGAGCGUGUAGGCGGCCAAGCAGGUCCGUUGUGAAAACUGGAGGCUUAACCUCCAGACGUCGACGGAAACCGCGUGGCUAGAGUCCGGAAGAGGAGAGUGGAAUUCCUGGUGUAGCGGUGAAAUGCGCAGAUAUCAGGAAGAACACCAAUGGCGAAGGCAGCUCUCUGGGACGGUACUGACGCUGAGACGCGAAAGCGUGGGGAGCGAACAGG
RNAcentral lists this ribosomal RNA (253 nucleotides) under uncultured bacterium. RNAcentral describes it as "partial 16S ribosomal RNA". It matches the Rfam family "Bacterial small subunit ribosomal RNA", at positions 524 to 776 of the family's 1533-position model. The record is from RNAcentral.